RNAcentral lists this ribosomal RNA (1346 nucleotides) under uncultured bacterium. RNAcentral's name for it is "bacterial SSU rRNA". It matches the Rfam family "Bacterial small subunit ribosomal RNA", at positions 28 to 1381 of the family's 1533-position model. The record is from RNAcentral.
GACGAACGCUGGCGGCGUGCUUAACACAUGCAAGCCGAGCGGUAUUGUUUCUUCGGAAAUGAGAGAGCGGCGUACGGGUGCGGAACACGUGUGCAACCUGCCUUUAUCUGGGGGAUAGCCUUUCGAAAGGAAGAUUAAUACUCCAUAACAUAUUGAUUGGCAUCAAUUAAUAUUGAAAGCUCCGGCGGAUAGAGAUGGGCACGCGCAAGAUUAGCUAGUUGGUGAGGUAACGGCUCACCAAGGCGAUGAUCUUUAGGGGGCCUGAGAGGGUGAUCCCCCACACUGGUACUGAGACACGGACCAGACUCCUACGGGAGGCAGCAGUGAGGAAUAUUGGUCAAUGGGUGCAAGCCUGAACCAGCCAUCCCACGUGAAGGACGACUGCCCUAUGGGUUGUAAACUUCUUUUGUAUAGGGAUAAACCUACCCUCGUGAGGGUAGCUGAAGGUACUAUACGAAUAAGCACCGGCUAACUCCGUGCCAGCAGCCGCGGUAAUACGGAGGGUGCAAGCGUUAUCCGGAUUUAUUGGGUUUAAAGGGUCCGUAGGCGGACUUAUAAGUCAGUGGUGAAAGCCUGUCGCUUAACGAUAGAACUGCCAUUGAUACUGUAAGUCUUGAGUAUAUUUGUAGGUAGCUGGAAUAAGUAGUGUAGCGGUGAAAUGCAUAAAUAUUACUUAGAACACCAAUUGCGAAGGCAGGUUACCAAGAUAUAACUGACGCUGAGGGACGAAAGCGUGGGGAGCGAGCAGGAUUAGAUACCCUGGUAGUCCACGCCGUAAACGAUGCUAACUCGUUUUUGGGCUUUAGGGUUCAGAGACCAAGCGAAAGUGAUAAGUUAGCCACCUGGGGAGUACGCUCGCAAGAGUGAAACUCAAAGGAAUUGACGGGGGCCCGCACAAGCGGUGGAUUAUGUGGUUUAAUUCGAUGAUACGCGAGGAACCUUACCAAGACUUAAAUGGGAAUUGACAGCUUUAGAAAUAGAGCUUUCUUCGGACAAUUUUCAAGGUGCUGCAUGGUUGUCGUCAGCUCGUGCCGUGAGGUGUUAGGUUAAGUCCUGCAACGAGCGCAACCCCUGUCACUAGUUGCCAUCAUUCAGUUGGGGACUCUAGUGAGACUGCCUACGCAAGUAGAGAGGAAGGUGGGGAUGACGUCAAAUCAUCACGGCCCUUACGUCUUGGGCCACACACGUAAUACAAUGGCCGGUACAGAGGGCAGCUACACAGCGAUGUGAUGCAAAUCUCGAAAGCCGGUCUCAGCUCGGAUUGGAGUCUGCAACUCGACUCUAUGAAGCUGGAAUCGCUAGUAAUCGCGCAUCAGCCAUGGCGCGGUGAAUACGUUCCCGGGCCU